Tripterygium wilfordii is the source of this 1935-nucleotide RNA transcript. It is a transcript of the gene named PI-PLC X domain-containing protein At5g67130, with no coding region annotated. The transcript is spliced from 7 exons. Lineage: Eukaryota; Viridiplantae; Streptophyta; Magnoliopsida; Celastrales; Celastraceae. The record is from RefSeq and is a predicted model, not a curated record.
UAUUGUGCUUUGUAUUCUGUGCACCGUACCUGCUCUGCUUCUCUCUCUCUCUUUGUUUCUUUCUUUCUCUCUCUCCAUUAGCUUCUCGAGCUCUGCAUAAGCUGAUAAGCAGUGGCCAUGUCGGCAUGUUCCGCGGUCCACCGUAGCUUAUGCAGAGUCCCAUUGGUGACGCUUCUCUUAUUCACAUCACUCUUAGUCACACUAGCAUAUGCAGCGGUGAUCUCUCUCUAAAGAUUCUUGAUCCGUACACAACUUUACCUUUUGUUAUUCUUGAGUUGAAUACGGUGCUAAAUUAUGAAGAAUUGCAGGUGCUGGACUCUUGCUCUGCGGCCACGGACUGUGGUCCUGGACUCUAUUGUGGCAACUGCCCUGCUUUGGGUAGGACUCAGCCUCUCUGCACCAGAGGCCAAGCUAUCACACCCACUUCAAUUAUUGGAGGGUUGCCUUUCAACAAGUAUACGUGGUUGGUGACUCAUAAUUCGUUUAGCAUAGUGGAUGCACAGCCUUUGCCCGGGGUUCAGAGGUUAACAUUUUACAAUCAAGAAGACUCGGUCACCAAUCAAUUGAACAAUGGAGUGAGGGGACUGAUGUUGGAUUUGUACGAUUUUGCGGAUGAUAUCUGGCUCUGCCAUUCUUUUCGGGGGCAAUGUUUCAACUUCACUGCCUUUCAACCUGCCAUUAACACUUUGAGGGAAGUGGAAGCUUUCUUGAGCCAAAACCCAACUGAGAUUGUAACCAUUAUAAUCGAGGACUAUGUCCAUACUCCAAAAGGGUUGAUAACGCUGUUCACUAAUGCUGGAUUGGACAAGUAUUGGUUUCCUGUGUCUAAAAUGCCUAAAAAGGGUGAUGAUUGGCCCACUGUGAAUGAGAUGGUGCAAGCGAAUUACCGGCUUUUGGUUUUCACCUCUAUUGCUUCUAAGGAAGCAGAGGAAGGAAUUGCUUAUCAGUGGAAGUAUAUGAAGGAAAAUGAGGGUAUAUACACACUAGCUUACUUUUCUGACUUUGGAUGUAUAUGUAUUUACAAUAACGGCAUCCUAUUGUUUUGGGUUUUAGCCGGUGAUCCUGGGGUGAAAUCAGGCUCGUGUCCAAACAGAAAAGAGUCAAAGCCACUUACUUCGAAAGGUGCAUCUCUUUUCCUGAUGAAUUAUUUCCCAACAUAUCCAGUUGAAGAUCAAGCAUGCAAAGAGCAUUCAACCCCACUUGCUGAGAUGGUUGGUACCUGUUAUAAAGCAGCAGGAAAUGUGAUGCCCAACUUUUUGGCCGUCAACUUCUAUAUGAGGAGUGAUGGAGGUGGUGCUUUUGAUGCUUUGGAUAGAAUGAAUGGCGCGAUGGUCUGUGGCUGCAGUACUAUCACUGCCUGCCAGGCUGGAGCACCUUUUGGAUCUUGCAAAAAUGUUGCUGUGCCGAAUAGAAGUCCUCUAACCAGUACUGCUGGAAGCUUUUCUGGGUCUGUUCAGUUCACAAAUUCAGCUUCAACAGUCCAUUCUUCAAGUUACUUAGUUUUGUUAGUUAUUAGUGGUGUUUUUAUUAUGAUGAAUAUAGUGAGAAACCAGUAGGUAGACCAUCGACCAUUAUUGAUCAAACUGUAGUAGAUGUCUAUAGUAUGUCGGUGAAUUUUGGAGCUGGAACUGGUAGUGCUUCAUACCUAUCUUUCUCAAGAGAAAUGCUGCAAAGAAACGGAGGUUAAGCAGAACACUGAGAUUGAUUUUAUCUGAGAGACGCAGAUGUGCUGCAAAGUGACUCAGGUUUUUUGUUAAUAGGUUGUAGGAGUAAAGAAAUGCAAGUGCAGCAGGUGUCAAGAAAUGUACCUUUUCUUUUGCCCUGGUUUCCUUGUCUCGUACCUUUGUGUUUUAGUUAUGUUUUUAUAUGGAAAUCUGGCAUGUUGUUCGACAUUUUUGGAGAAUGGAAUUGGAACUUCUGUUCUGUGUCCAAUAA